UUUAGAUUUGUUUGGCCAUAAUGAUAAAGUUCUACUCAUGCACAUAGCUCAAUUAAAUGUAAGUGAAGAAAUAAAAAUAAUAUCGAAAGAACAUACAAUAUGCACAUCCCUAUCAACUGCGACGAAACGAAAAGGCGUUAAGCAACAGCUACACCGCACUGACGUCAAAACGUCAUACUGGCAACUGUUGUCACUUGCAAACGAACGGAAGAAAAGAGAAACGGCACAUCAGCCACAGGAUUGCUCAUAAAGUGAACAGAAGUGACACUGCGUGGAUGCCGAAUUUGGCCUGAGUCCCACUGGAGUGCAACAUUGCGGUAGCUGGUGAGGGCGAAAAUUCCUACGGGAAUUAGUCCGAUCGGUUCAGGAAAAAAACGGCUUUCGUGCGAUUUCCAACUGCCCGGCGGAUAGAUAGGCAUUCUUCAAGAUUGCGGGGAAAGUUCACUGGCCGCCGAAGCAACUCCGAUACGCAACCCGAUACGAUUCCACCUGGAGGACAAGGACAGGUCCGGAAGGAGCGCUCUUCCCUGGACAGGAUAGUUGCGGCAGGUCUAAGAAGGUCCACGCACGUGCACUUUUGAGAGAGGAUAAACACGAUUCUACGUGUGGAUGAACGAUUCCGUUUGGAAACCGGAUUGGGGAACCAACACCGACUCAC
This is a long non-coding RNA of Aedes aegypti (yellow fever mosquito), 658 nucleotides long. RefSeq lists it as uncharacterized. The record is from RefSeq and is a predicted model, not a curated record. Lineage: Eukaryota; Metazoa; Arthropoda; Insecta; Diptera; Culicidae. The transcript is spliced from 4 exons.